RNAcentral lists this ribosomal RNA (266 nucleotides) under uncultured bacterium. RNAcentral's name for it is "partial 16S ribosomal RNA". It matches the Rfam family "Bacterial small subunit ribosomal RNA", at positions 793 to 1055 of the family's 1533-position model. The record is from RNAcentral.
GUCCUGGCUGUAAACGAUGGGCACUAGGUGUGGGAGGUAUCGACCCCUUCCGUGCCGCAGCUAACGCAUUAAGUGCCCCGCCUGGGGAGUACGGCCGCAAGGUUGAAACUCAAAGGAAUUGACGGGGGCCCCGCACAAGCGGUGGAGCAUGUGGUUUAAUUCGACGCAACGCGAAGAACCUUACCGGGGCUUGAACUGCAGGGGACAGCCGUGGAAACACGGUCUUCUCGAAAGGGAUCCCUGUAGAGGUGCUGCAUGGCUGUCGU